UUUUGACACAAAAUCUUUGUUACGCAGACAAUUGCUAAAGCAGUUGGGGACUGGUACUACGACACAAGUCCAUUUCAGAAGAUCAAAACUUGUCACAAUAGGAUUUUUGAUUCAAAAGAGAACCCAUCAGUAUAGAUGUACUGGGACAACAAAAGUCAUUCUUUGGAAUAAUUGAGAUACAGAAAUUCAAAAUGCUACAAGGAGAAAGAAAAGUCAACAAGAAAAGGUAUAAGAAAAAUGAAGAAUCCAAAAUUUAUUAAUGUUGCAGAAUAAAGGAAAAAUGCAAUGCACAAAAUGUGAUUGAUGAUGUUAUUCUUAUAACAUAUUGCAAGAAUAAUUUAUUAAUUAUUCUGAAGCUGAGUGUGAUGUUAAUGAUCUAUAUUUUCAAUUUGGAGAUUAAUAUUUUUGUUGUCAUCCCAUUUAUGGACAAUAAGUUUUAUCUUGGUCCAAACAUUAUUUAUAUAAGUCGAGUUCGUUUUGAAUUUCAUGCUUCAUGCCAUCUCUUUGAGUCAAAUUUUGACUUUGUUUUAAUGUAAUUAGUAGAUUCAUUAUCCUCGAUUAGUAAUCGUAAAUUUAUACCUUCUAGGAGGUCGAAUGAUCCUUCUAGACUUACAUGGAGAUGAAAUGUCCUUAGGAUUUUCUACUUCUUAAUCAAGAGUUUGUCCCUCAGUAAUUGUAAGAUUAGAUUUAGUUCAUCUACUUGGUCAACUAUAUCUGUCGAUUCUUGAACCUUUUUAACUUCUAAUUUGCUCUCACUAUCCUCUCCUAGAUGAACUAUUUCUCUAGGAAAAUGGUAUGUAUUAAGACAGAAGUUUUCUUCUCAAUGGGAUUAUAGAAUUCGGACAAUGCUACAUUAACAAACUCAUCUACAAAAUGUUUGACAAUCUUGACAAGUGGCAACCGUCCCCUCCAAUAGGGGGCCGCCACUUGUCGAGUUUGUCAAACAUUUUGUACAAUAUUUUGUACAUAUAUCUUUAUCCAUAGAAUUAAUACCCAAUUGUCUCUUUUGAAUAUUCCACAAAUAUAUAUUUAUCGAAUUUAGAUUCUGGUUUAUCUCAUAUAAGCGUCACAUCCCUAAACUUUUAUGUGAGAUAGGUUGGGCAUUCUUUCUUCCCAUAACUCGUAUGGAGUUUUGUCAACUGAUUUAGAUGGGACGCGAUUUAGUGUGUAGUACAUAGUAGCAUUACAUAUCCCAAAAUGAUUUUGGGAGAUUAGUUUGUAUCAUCAUUUAUCGCAUUAGAUCUAACAAUAUACGAUUCCUUCUUUCAUACACGCUAUUUAUGUUACAGUGUAUGUGGCAAAGUCCACUCCAAGAGAAUCCCAUUCUCAUUUAGAUAAUUAGAAAUUCACCUUUACGAUAUUCUCUACCUCAAUUAUAUCUUAAUUUGAGAAAAUCUCUACCUAAAUGUUUCUCUACUUCUAAUUUGAAUUCUCUAAACUUUUCAAGAGCAUUUUAUUUGAAUUAUAUCAAGUAAAUAUAACCAUAUCUAGAAUGACCAUAAGUAAAUGUGAUGAAAUAAGAGAAAUUUCAUCCAGUGUUAAUUGAUAAAGGUCCACAUACAUCAGUAUGCAUUGUGCCAGAAAUUAUGUAGCUUUUUCUUAUUUUUCAUCAAAAGAAAAUUUGGUCAUCCUAUCCAACAAAAUGAUUCACAUUUGUGAAAUGAUUCAAAAUCAAUUGAUCACAAAAUUUUCAUCCCUAUGAAAUUUGGAAGUGCAUUUUUUUUUAAUUUAUGUGACCUAGUCUACAGUGCCAAUGACAUUUAUUAUUCAUGUUUAUACUUUUAUAACUUUUUAUUUUCUAUAGUCAUAUUGGAAAAACUGAGUAUCUAGAAUAUAAAUACUAUUUUGUAAUUUACUACAACCAUAAAAUAUCUUAUCAAGAUAAUAGGACCAACGAUUAUUCUUAACGUUAAUUGAAAAAUAUUUCAUGUCUAAACAUGAAAUUGAAAUAAUGUUUUUGGUAAUGGUGGGAACAAAAUAACAUUUCUCUAAUUCUAAUACCAAGCUUGAAGACAUCGACAAGAAGUAUGUUCCUACAUGUAAUGCAGCAACCUUUGCUCCACUUCCAAUGUAGGUUAAUUUCUCUAUUUUGCAGUGGUUUACUUCUUUUUUGUUUCUGCAUAUUUAUAUAAAUAUGAGAUCCACAUUAGAUAUCUAAUACCGGAAAAGCUAAUGAGGUAGAUAUAUUAAUCUCAAUAACAAAGGUACCUAAAGUGGAAGUUUUGGAAGACCUUUUUCCUUUUUUUUAAGCUCAUGAGUUGAGCUUCGAAGUUCCUCUUUCAAUAACCUUUCAUUUCACAUGAUAGCAAGGAUGAUUAGAUUUGGUAUUGUCCUUCUUUUCAUUGUCUGCCUUCUUGUCUUCUUAGAUGCUUUCCCAAAGCAUCUUUUAAAUUUCUUCUUAGUUCCUUAUAAGAAAUCAAUAACCAAAACUUUUCAACUACUUGCCCUGAUAUUGGGCUCAACAGUCUUAAGUUUGUUUAGCAACUCAAAGAGAGUGCACUCGAACUUAAAAUCCACAAUAAACUAUGAAUAGAACAUUUGCAGAGAUUGUAAAACCAAAAUAAUACUUAGUUUAUGAUCCAUGACCAAUUGAAAUGAGUUCUCAAUAUACCCAAUCAUCUUCAGGACAUGAGUAAUGACUAAAGAAUCUUUUGCCAUUUUGAACUAACAUAGUUGUUUGAAAGUCAUAUAUCUUUCACAAGUGAUUAUUCAUCAUAAAUUCUAUGAGAUGAAAAUUUAUGCUAUUAGCAUCCAUUCCCUUAUGUUGUUUUUGUAACUUCAGGAGACAUAACUACUAGCAUCACACGUAUUGCUGUAUUAUUGUCAUCACUGUGUUUAUUUUAAGCAGUCACCUCAUUCACAAUUGAACCUUCUAUGGGUGUCUUUGAAAAUGGAUGCUCAAGGACUUAACCAAUUUUCUUAUGCCUAAAAACAAUUUUUUGAUUACGGUGUCAUUCGAAAAAAAUUGGCCCGAUCAAUUUAUUGGCAUCCACUAUGCAUCUCAAAUUCAUAUGAUUAUUCAUAAUUGAAGGCUAUAAAUGACAAAAAAAAAAAAGAAAAAAAGAAAAGCACAAUAUAUUGAAAGAUGCAUCUAUUAAUUUAACAUAGUAUUUUAUUAAAUUAAUUAUACUCUUACCGUGUCACUUAAAUUUAUAAAUAUCUUACAGAAAUUUAUGAAAUCCGUACUUUUCUUUAGUUGAGUUAGGCGAUAGGAUCAGGUGCUAAUGGCUUCAACUAAUGGAGACUAGAGGAUCUGCUGUGGCUGCUGAAGUUCAACUGAUGAAUCUGUUUGUUGUUGAUGAAGAUCUUGUGUGCUAUUUUUGUUGCUGCAGAGAUCCGUUGAAGCAAACAGAGGAACUCACAGUGAACAAUAGAGUCUAAGUAGUAAUUGACUAGGAAUUACUAUAUUAUAUUAAGGAACUGGAAUAGAAGUAUGUAUGUAUAAAACUAUUCUGUAAUCGAUAUUAAAGGAAAAUAGAAUUUGAUUGAAGGCAUUUAAGAGGCCCUGACUUUCCUCAAUCCCAUUUAUGGACAAUAAGUUUUAUCUUGGUCCAAACAUUAUUUAUAUAAGUCGAGUUCGUUUCGAAUUUCAUGCUUCAUGCCAUCUCUUUGAGUCAGAUUUUGACUUUGUUUUAAUCUAAUUAGUAGAUUCAUUAUCCUCGAUUAGUAAUCGUAAAUUUAUACCUUCUAGGAGGUCGAAUGAUCC
RNAcentral lists this long non-coding RNA (3706 nucleotides) under Olea europaea (common olive). RNAcentral's name for it is "long non-coding RNA (OEUR_LNC015076)". The record is from RNAcentral. Lineage: Eukaryota; Viridiplantae; Streptophyta; Magnoliopsida; Lamiales; Oleaceae.